RNAcentral lists this ribosomal RNA (436 nucleotides) under uncultured bacterium. Its description in RNAcentral is "bacterial SSU rRNA". It matches the Rfam family "Bacterial small subunit ribosomal RNA", at positions 612 to 1043 of the family's 1533-position model. The record is from RNAcentral.
ACUCCGAAAUGGCAUUGGAAACUACCUUGCUCGAGGGUUGGAGGGGGGACUGGAAUGCUUGGUGUAGCAGUGAAAUGCGUAGAUAUCAAGUGGAACACCAGUGGCGAAGGCGAGUCCCUGGACAACUCCUGACACUGAGGCACGAAAGCUAGGGGAGCAAACAGGAUUAGAUACCCUGGUAGUCCUAGCCGUAAACGGUGCAUGUUUGCUGUAAAAGGAAUCGACCCCUUUUGUGGCGGAGCCAACGCGUUAAACAUGCCGCCUGGGAAGUACGGUCGCAAGAUUAAAACUCAAAGAAAUUGACGGGGGCCUGCACAAGCGGUGGAGUAUGUGGCUCAAUUCGAUGCAACGCGAAGAACCUUACCUGGCCUUGACAUGUACGUAGUAGAAGGGUGAAAGCCUGACGAGAUAGCAAUAUCAGCGUACACAGGUGCUG